UGAUUCUCAGGCUUUGCUGAAGAUGUAGAU
This 30-nucleotide non-coding RNA is filed under the name Mus musculus (house mouse). Lineage: Eukaryota; Metazoa; Chordata; Mammalia; Rodentia; Muridae. The record is from RNAcentral.